CCUACGGGUGGCAGCAGUGAGGAAUAUUGGUCAAUGGACGAGAGUCUGAACCAGCCAAGUAGCGUGAAGGAUGACUGCCCUAUGGGUUGUAAACUUCUUUUAUAUGGGAAUAAAAUGUUCCACGUGUGGGAUUUUGUAUGUACCAUAUGAAUAAGGAUCGGCUAACUCCGUGCCAGCAGCCGCGGUAAUACGGAGGAUCCGAGCGUUAUCCGGAUUUAUUGGGUUUAAAGGGAGCGUAGGUGGAUUGUUAAGUCAGUUGUGAAAGUUUGCGGCUCAACCGUAAAAGUGCAGUUGAAACUGGCAGUCUUGAGUACAGUAGAGGUGGGCGGAAUUCGUGGUGUAGCGGUGAAAUGCUUAGAUAUCACGAAGAACUCCGAUUGCGAAGGCAGUUCACUGGUCUGCAACUGACACUGAGGCUCGAAAGUGUGGGUAUCAAACAGGAUUAGAUACCCUAGUAGUC
This 460-nucleotide ribosomal RNA is filed under the name uncultured bacterium. RNAcentral's name for it is "partial 16S ribosomal RNA". It matches the Rfam family "Bacterial small subunit ribosomal RNA", at positions 338 to 795 of the family's 1533-position model. The record is from RNAcentral.